CCUAGGCUGUCAGUCUAGGAGACAGAGGAGUCUAGGACCACGUGCGUAACGCGAGCGUGGGAGUGUGCGGUGCUCGUGUUGGAGAAGGGAGGAAUGGAAAUAACCCCGACAGCGCCAGGCUUGGCGGUGGUCAGGGACAGAUGACUGCAGCCCUGCGCUGCUCGCCGGCUCUUCUGCCGUUUAGCGCAAUAGAGCCCUUGCUGCGGUCUCCCUACCUACCCUAAAGGAUCCUGGAAGAGGGAGUGGUUCGUCCGAGCUGUAGAGAGGGAGCUACUUUUAUUUUUAAGAAUUACGUUUGUAUAAGUACGAUCGGGCAGUUCAAGGGAGGGCGAACGACUUGCAGGAAAAAAAAAAUGUGAAUGCAUUUGGUAUGAGCUAAAAGCUGGAAAAGCCCCAAAUAGAGGCAGUAUGGAUAGAAAGCAAGUUUGUUGAAGAGUCACCUGCUAAACUUCACUAGCGUCGUCUCUACAAGUGAUCUGUGCUGUCUGGGCCUGCCUUGCAGUUGAACCUGGAUUUGAAACUGACAACUAUGAACGAAUAGGAAAAUGUUGCAGCAGGAGCUGCCACGUCUGAAGAAAAUUCAAAGAAAGGUCUAUUCGGGCAGUGGUGGCUUUUCAUGGAUUUACUGAACCAACGAAGGACCCACUUCCAAGAGGGCUGUUAUGCUUUCCAUGGAUUUAUAAGGCAGAUACAACCUGUGACGGGAUGUCAGCUAGCAGAAUAAGUGAAUU
Long non-coding RNA from Chinchilla lanigera (long-tailed chinchilla), 731 nucleotides. RefSeq lists it as uncharacterized. The record is from RefSeq and is a predicted model, not a curated record. The transcript has 4 exons. Lineage: Eukaryota; Metazoa; Chordata; Mammalia; Rodentia; Chinchillidae.